Long non-coding RNA from Ailuropoda melanoleuca (giant panda), 276 nucleotides. RefSeq lists it as uncharacterized. The transcript is spliced from 3 exons. The record is from RefSeq and is a predicted model, not a curated record. NCBI's taxonomy places the organism in Eukaryota, Metazoa, Chordata, Mammalia, Carnivora, Ursidae.
GAAACUUUUUGCAAAAUAUUCGUAGUCCCUGCUAAGGUGCUCAAGAACUUCUCUGCAGUCCUUACCUAAGCAGGGGCUGUGACAUUUGCAUUUCCACCAGCAGUGAAAAAGAGCUCCUGUUGCUCUGCAUCCUUGGCAACAUUUGGUGUUGACAGUGUUCUGGAUGAUGGCAUUUCUAAUAGGAUUUCAACCAAAUAAAAGCAUCUGCAUUCUGAGUUUAGACUGCUAACUAAGGUCCCAUAUAGGUAAGUUCUUACUUAACACUGCUAAGCUGCC